AUAAUAAAUCUUAAUCCAACAUCGAGGUCGCAAACCCCCCUGCCGAUAAGAACUCUCAAGGGGGAUAACGCUGUUAUCCCUAAGGUAACUUAAUCUUACAAUCAAAAUAAAUGGAUCAAAUAAACAUAAAUAAAUAUAACAACAUAAAGGAGGGGUUAAAUAAAUCCCUCCCAUCACCCCAACGAAACAUACUAAACGGCCCAGCGAACCCUCACAAACAGAAAAGAACCGUAAUAAAUGUUAAACUCUAUAGGGUCUUCUCGUCCCAUAAAAACAUCUAAGAAUUUUAACUCAAAAACCAAAUUCAAUAAACAAUUCAAAAUUAAGACAGCCCAUGCCUCGUCAAGCCAUUCAUACCAGAUCACAAUUAAAGAACUAAUGACUAUGCUACCUUUGCACGGUCAAAAUACCGCGGCCCUUCAACAUCAAAGUCAGCGGGCAGGCCAUACUUCAAAAACUAA
Molecule: ribosomal RNA, 461 nt
Filed under: Reticulitermes lucifugus
Lineage: Eukaryota; Metazoa; Arthropoda; Insecta; Blattodea; Rhinotermitidae
Description: partial large subunit ribosomal RNA
Source: RNAcentral